ACCCCCUGGCAAUGGACAAAGACACAUUUUUGGUGGUGUUUUUCUUAUAAAAGGGGCUGAGCAGAUGGCAGCUCUUUGUUCAUCCUAGCUUGAUGCCUGGCUUAGUGGCCAAAACUGUUUUAUGCCUAGGACAAAUCA
Grammomys surdaster is the source of this 138-nucleotide small nucleolar RNA. RefSeq annotates it as small nucleolar RNA SNORA48. The transcript has a single exon. The record is from RefSeq and is a predicted model, not a curated record. Lineage: Eukaryota; Metazoa; Chordata; Mammalia; Rodentia; Muridae.